GGAGAGAUGGCUGAGCUGGUCUAAGGCGCACGACUGGAAAUCGUGUGUGCGUUAAUAGCGCACCGAGAGUUCGAAUCUCUCUCUCUCCGCCA
This 92-nucleotide transfer RNA is filed under the name Clostridiaceae bacterium. RNAcentral describes it as "tRNA-Ser". It matches the Rfam family "tRNA". Rfam says of the family: Transfer RNA (tRNA) molecules are approximately 80 nucleotides in length. Their secondary structure includes four short double-helical elements and three loops (D, anti-codon, and T loops). Further hydrogen bonds mediate the characteristic L-shaped molecular structure. tRNAs have two regions of fundamental functional importance: the anti-codon, which is responsible for specific mRNA codon recognition, and the 3' end, to which the tRNAs corresponding amino acid is attached (by aminoacyl-tRNA synthetases). tRNAs cope with the degeneracy of the genetic code in two manners: having more than one tRNA (with a specific anti-codon) for a particular amino acid; and 'wobble' base-pairing, i.e. permitting non-standard base-pairing at the 3rd anti-codon position. The record is from RNAcentral. Lineage: Bacteria; Bacillati; Bacillota; Clostridia; Eubacteriales; Clostridiaceae.